Molecule: ribosomal RNA, 367 nt
Filed under: uncultured organism
Description: bacterial SSU rRNA
Rfam family: Bacterial small subunit ribosomal RNA
Source: RNAcentral
CGGAGGUGCAAGCGUUAUCCGGAUUCACUGGGUUUAAAGGGUGCGUAGGAGGGCAGGUAAGUCAGAGGUGAAAUCUCCGAGCUUAACUCGGAAACUGCCUUUGAUACUAUCUGUCUUGAAUAUUGUGGAGGUGAGCGGAAUAUGUCAUGUAGCGGUGAAAUGCUUAGAUAUGACAUAGAACACCAAUUGCGAAGACAGCUCGCUACACAUAUAUUGACUCUGAGGCACGAAAGCGUGGGGAUCAAACAGGAUUAGAUACCCUGGUAGUCCACGCCCUAAACGAUGGAUACUCGACAUACGUGAUACACAAUGUGUGUCUGAGCGAAAGCAUUAAGUAUCCCACCUGGGAAGUACGACCGCAAGGUUG